CCUUGACUAUCAACUACUGA
RNAcentral lists this small nuclear RNA (20 nucleotides) under Arabidopsis thaliana (thale cress). RNAcentral's name for it is "snRNA_01370". Lineage: Eukaryota; Viridiplantae; Streptophyta; Magnoliopsida; Brassicales; Brassicaceae. The record is from RNAcentral.